UGCCAGCCGCCGCGGUAAUACGGAGGGUGCAAGCGUUGUUCGGAAUUAUUGGGCGUAAAGCGCGUGUAGGCGGUUCGUUAAGUCUGAUGUGAAAGCCCGGGGCUCAACCCUGGAAGUGCACUCGAAACUGCCUAGCUAGAGUCCUGGAGAGGAAGGUGGAAUGCUUGGUGUAGAGGUGAAAUUCGUAGAUAUCAAGCGGAACACCGGUGGCGAAGGCGGCCUUCUGGACAGUGACUGACGCUGAGACCCGAAAGCGUGGGGAGCAAACAGGAUUAGAUA
Molecule: ribosomal RNA, 279 nt
Filed under: uncultured bacterium
Lineage: Bacteria
Description: partial 16S ribosomal RNA
Rfam family: Bacterial small subunit ribosomal RNA
Source: RNAcentral